Molecule: long non-coding RNA, 217 nt
Filed under: Homo sapiens (human)
Lineage: Eukaryota; Metazoa; Chordata; Mammalia; Primates; Hominidae
Description: HSALNT0381537
Source: RNAcentral
CACCUGUCUCGUCCCCAGUGGCUUUUCCAGAACUACUGCCUUCACCAUGAAGCUCCAUGAGCUUUCCCAAAUUUAUUGACCACUUCUUUCAAGUCAUUUGUCUGCACCUCUCGGAUCAUGAUUUCCAUCAUCUUCUUCCGGAUUUGGCGGACCUGUUGGUGCUGAGCAGUUUUUACCCUGAACAUCUUCAGUAAUCAGCUUGAAUUUUCUAAAUGCA